Molecule: long non-coding RNA, 353 nt
Filed under: Androctonus crassicauda
Lineage: Eukaryota; Metazoa; Arthropoda; Arachnida; Scorpiones; Buthidae
Source: RNAcentral
CUUCAGCAUUUUUAUCUUCAUUAUAUACUUGCCUAAAAGAGAAGUAAUGGCCCAAAGUAAUGAGGAUAUAAUCCAAGGAAAUCCUUCUAAGAAAUUUGGGAUAUUUGCAGCCGCUCUGAGGAUUGUCGCAGGAGGUUUAACUGGUGCCAUAAAUCAAAUUCCUCCAUCGGAAGUUAUGAUAAAUCCACCUCCCUUCGUUAUUAAUAUACCAGUUCCUAUUCUGGCUAAUAGCGGUAAAAGAUCAGAGAAUAGUAAAGGCUGAAGGCCACUUGUCAUUCGUAACCAAAGAAGAAGAAAACAACUCGUAGUUGCUUGAAUCUUGUGAUGGUUAAUAAAGAAUUGUUUGGCUGAAC